AGACUGUUCAGAUUCAAAAGGGAAGUAUGGUUAACAUUAUUAACAGCAGCUAUAAAUCUAAAAGAAUUAACAUAGAAAUGUCUUCAUCCACCAUGAGCGUAAAGAAAGCGUGAAGAAAGGUUUGAGCUAAUUCCAGUUGAAAUAGUUUGUUACUUACUUAGUCAUAUUGUCCUUUAAAUAUUCAAAGCUGAAGCAAAAACACAACAAUUGUUGCUUCUAGAAACAGCCCAGUUCUCUGUGCUGUGCUUUGCACACUACUGAUCUAAGGCAGACAAACAAAAACAACACAACUGCUGCUCAUCCUGCUUGAUUUCUACUUUUUUUGCUUUGCCCUACCCCUUUCCCAGGUGAUUGGUUGGGUUCCAGGUGGGCCUAAUGGUAUAUAAGCUGCAGGUGUCAUAUCAGAAAACUUCUUCCAUCUGAGCUGCUCUUUGGGGGUAAGUGCUUUGUUUUUUCUGCAGCCAGUUGUGGGGUUCUUUUGGUGGGUCAGAGUGUAUGGGCUGAUGUGUUUCCAAGUUGAUAGAGGAUGUCUUCCAGAUCCACAGGAAACCAUUAAAUGCUAGUAAUGCCAAUAAGACAACGAAGUAAACUGAAGCACAAGAAGCUGAAAAAGAGGAACUUAAUCAUAUUAAUGGAAGCACUAAAAAGAUCGUUGGAAACAAUUGCCUUACAUGAAGCCUUCUGGUAGAAAAUAGAAUUUGAUGUGAUGACAGAUAAAAACGUGCAUCUACCAGACAUGGAAAGAGAGAAGGAAACUUGUGAUACUGUAAUAUUACAAGCAGCAAAUUGUUCCAGAAGACAUCAGCAUGCAGAUCACUGCAUACAAUAUGCGAUCAAGUUAUUGGAAAGAAAAACAGCCGUAGGUUUAGAAAAAUCAUUUCAGUCUCCCUAUAUUGCUGAUCCUUUGAGUAUCCUGUCUAUAGAAGAAAGAAAUGCAGUUCCAAGGAGCUGGUUUGUCAGAAGGCAAAACACACUCGGUAUGAAAAAAGCAUAAAACCUAGAAUUCAGUUUCAGGCUUAUGUUCUCUAGUUUUCUUUAAAA
This 1041-nucleotide long non-coding RNA is filed under the name Anser brachyrhynchus (Pink-footed goose). Its description in RNAcentral is "lncRNA (ENSABRG00000004541.1)". The record is from RNAcentral. Lineage: Eukaryota; Metazoa; Chordata; Aves; Anseriformes; Anatidae.